Molecule: regulatory RNA element, 185 nt
Rfam family: c-di-AMP riboswitch aptamer (ydaO/yuaA leader)
About the family: This family represents a conserved RNA structure found upstream of the ydaO and yuaA genes in Bacillus subtilis and related genes in other bacteria. The ydaO/yuaA element is thought to act as a genetic "off" switch for the ydaO and yuaA genes in its native state.
Source: Rfam
UGGGGGUUACCGCCGAGUUCGAGUGCCGGCGUGCGUCACGGGGGGACUGGUACUCGGAGCCGGGGAACCAACAUUCCCGGGGUGAAUCGGGGUCAGGUCGUGCCGUGCGGCGCGAUGGGACCCGGUAGGGCUGCUUCCUGCCCGAACCCGACAGCUCACCCGGUAGGCGGCAACAGGAAGAAGGA